Molecule: non-coding RNA, 397 nt
Organism: Haplochromis burtoni (Burton's mouthbrooder)
Lineage: Eukaryota; Metazoa; Chordata; Actinopteri; Cichliformes; Cichlidae
Source: the annotation of a RefSeq genome assembly
UUGAUCAUGGAUCGACAUGAGUUCAUGGCUGUUGUUCUCAUCCUGUCAAUUAACUGGGCUGGUACUGAGGGUCAAACACUGACUGAAUCUGGACCAGUAGUCAAAAGACCAGGAGACUCCCACAGACUGACCUGUACAUACUCAGGGUUCAGUGGCGAUAUUUAUGCAGUUUGGGUCAGACAAGCUGCUGGAAAAGGACUGGAGUGGAUUGCUAGAAUCAGUGAUGAUAGCAACUAUAUCUCUUACUCUCAGUCAGUCAGAGGCCGCUUCACCAUCUCCAGAGACAACAGCAGAAAGCAGCUGUAUCUGCAGAUGAGCAGUUUGACAACUGAGGAUUCUGCUGUUUAUUAUUGUGCUCGAGAGUCACAGUGACACAAGAGGAAGAAACUGUGUACAA